CAAAGAACUUUGAAGAGAGAGUUCAAGAGUACGUGAAACUGCUGAGAGGCARACUGGUGGGCCCUCGAAAUCCCGUUUGCGGGGAGAUUCAGUCGGGUGUCGGCGGCCGUCUCUAAAAUGGGUCUGUCGCAACCGAAGAUCGGGGCACAUUCCGAGGGACGAGUUCCGCUGGAACCCGACGCAUUUCCCGCCCGCACGAAAGGACGCCGCAGCCGGUCGGGUAGCUGCGCGUGUCGGCCAUGAGGACGUUGCAACGGCAGGUGACCGGCGGCCCCAGGCUUCUCCGGAGGCACUGACGGUCGACGGUUGAUUAGCCGGCUCGUCCGUGGCGCGACACCCGACCGAGGUAAUAGAGAGAACGGGCGUUCUCCACGGAGAUACGUUCCCGAGUCUGCAAUCCACUACUUUCAAACGAGAGAGCGAGCCGUCGGACAGGCGCGUUCCUGCGUGGUCGGACAGUCACCGCACUGGUCGAUCUGGUGGGAGCGCGUCGUUAGUACCGAGUCAGGAUCUCGCGGAGGAUGAAGGCUGGCGGCGAGUAGGUCGGUAACCCACCCGACCCGUCUUGAAACACGGACCAAGGAGUCUAACAUGUGCGCAAGUCGCGGGGUCUUGUUCAGGCCCAAAGGCGAAAUGAAAGUGAAGGCCGCCGCUUCCCCUUAUUCAGUUAGGGGCGGAGUGAGGCGGCCGGGUUGGGAUCCGCACGUGACACGGCACGUGACGAAGCACCAACGGCCCGCCCUGUUCUAUUUUCUCAAUAGGAACUCAAACGGAGUUUGAGCGCACACGUUGGGACCCGAAAGAUGGUGAACUAUGCCUGGGCAGGACGAAGCCAGAGGAAACUCUGGUGGAGGUCCGCAGCGGUUCUGACGUGCAAAUC
RNAcentral lists this ribosomal RNA (880 nucleotides) under Atypoides riversi. Its description in RNAcentral is "eukaryotic LSU rRNA". It matches the Rfam family "Eukaryotic large subunit ribosomal RNA", at positions 367 to 899 of the family's 3401-position model. The record is from RNAcentral. Lineage: Eukaryota; Metazoa; Arthropoda; Arachnida; Araneae; Antrodiaetidae.